GAGAGAGAGAGAGGGAGAGGGAGGGAGGGAGGGAGGGGGAGAGAGAGAGGGAGGGAGGGAGGGGGAGGGAGAGAGGGAGGGAGGGAGGGAGGGAGUGGGAGGGAGAGAGGGAGAGAGGGAGGGGGAGAGAGAGAGAGGGAGGGAGGGAGGGAGGGAGGGAGAGAGAGAGAGAGAGAGAGAGAGAGAUAUCGGGAGAGUGGUGACAGGUCCCACCUCUGUGUCCCAUGUCACUUCUGGCAGUGUGAGCAUGGGAACGUCGUUUAACCCCUAAUCUUUGGUUUUCUCUGUCCGUGAAGUAGACAGAAAAAGAGCUCCUGUACAUGGUUGCUGUGAGGCUCGAAUGAGCUGAAUGCAGGUGAAAGUGCUUUAGAAACUCUAAGCUAGCUAGAAAUAUUAGUUAUUAUUGUUCUUAUCAUUCUUACAUUAAAAUGUAAUCUGCCCAAACCAUUUGGGAAGCAUUGCACACUAGCCCCACUUGGAGACUUGUAGUAUGCAUAUUAUUGUCUGUUUGUUCAGUGGUUUGCUCACCGUACUGAUUAAUAUUAGAACUAAAGCAGUAUAUUUCAGAAAGCAACCAGGAGUAGCCAUUCUCGGAAGUGUUAUACAAGCAUUAAAAAUUAUGUUUGCAGAGAGAGUGAAGUGUCUGGGCAGGCUUCAACAAAGCAAGCAGCUUAGGGAGUAUAUAGGGUAUAUUAUUACAAUUAUAAAAGAAACGCACAGAAAAAAAUACUUGAAGGAUCUAUGCCAAAAUAGUAAGUGGGUACCUUAGGGCGUGGGACUUGGAGUAAUUUUUCGUCUUUGUUAUACUUUUCUGUGCUUUAAGCAUACAUUGCCAUGCCCUUACAUUACUUCUGUAAUCGAAAAGAUAAAUUCAUGAACAAAACAACAGCCCCUCACCACCCCCGCUUCCCCACCCAGUACAGGUGAGAAUUAGAUGCUUGAAGAACUAAAAGGACAAACGUAUUGAUUUCAUCUUUUUAAUAUUUUCCUGGUUCGUCUUCCCUUCAACACUGUUUUCAUCUGGCAGAGAAAACGGGACUCUGCACAGAAACGGUAGCGACCAAAGCGAAAUAUCCCCUAGCAGAGUCUCGAAUUGCUCUGCCCUCUUGGGACCUCCUGCCUAAAUUUUUUGGUAAUGAAAUUUGAUCCUGACUUCAGCUAAAGCUAUUGUGUAUUAAUCUCGCAUUUCUAUGUAGCAUAGGAUGUCUAGAAUGUCUAUUUAGUGUAGAAUGUAUUCGGCAGCCUGUAGAGACCAGAGAUAACGAAUUGUUAUGUAUCUUCUGUUUUGCCCUUGUGAGCCUUGCAGUCCGGUUUGCAGGCAUGUGGAAGUGGAUGCAUUCAUGUGUCCCCCUGGCACGCAUAAGAGGAUGGGAGAAGUGUGCUGAGUAUUCUUUUCUAGGAGAAGUGGGUUUCUCCAGCUCUUUCAUAAUUCUUGGCCCCUCCCUUUCAUUACAAGGAUUAGUCACCAUUUCAGAUUUCAGAUUUGGCCUGGGGCACUUCCUGUUUAGGUGUGGCUCUAACGUGUGCCUCUUGUCUGCCUUUGGGGUCUCCCUCUUCACCCCCCUCUAGGGCUCUUGCUCCUACCGUGACUGUUGCCCUCUACAUCCUGCGGUUUUUCCCAGUGCCUGCUGUGCUGUCACCUGCCACUUUCUCCAAAACCAUCCCCUUGUCUCACCCCGCAGGAAAAUUCUCCCUGUAGCCGUUACCCCUGCCACCAAUUUUAGUGCCAGAAAGUGUGCUGGCCUCACUGUACGUGGAUAGCCAGUCCUCUCCUUUUAAGUGGUACUGUGCUGCUGAUCGGGUGGGGGAGAAACCAUGUUGGCUAAUUGCUCAUCCCCGCGCUCAUUUCUUCAUCUCUUCAUACUGGGUGCCGGGGCGGGGGCAGUGUGCGGUGGGAAUGCCACACAAGGCGGACACAGAUCCUGCCCCCAUUCUUGGGCCUGGAUCCAGGGACUGGCAUUCCUCUCGCCUCUUCUCACUCUUCAGAGGUCAUUGCUGCUGCUUAUGGGGUGGAGAGCAGAGGCAGGUGGACAUUAUGUGGAAGAAAGGAAAAGCUGAGGGUCAGGGCCGGGGUGGCAGACCGGGUCCAGUCCUGAUUUGGUCCACUAACUUGUCGGUUUCCCUGUCGGAAACGGAACAGUAACCAUGGUAAGGCUACCAGUUGCGUAUUGCCCAUCAGCACAGGCCAGUAUCUUGACCGGCCCUUCACUCACGUAAUUUCACUUUACCUUCUCUGCAGCCCUGCGAUAUAGGUUGGCUUAUUUUGUCCCUGUGUCACCUUCAAAGAACCCGAAGCUCAAAGAUAAAUCACAAAAUGGUAGAGCAGGAAUUUGGACCCAGUCUUGGUGCCCAAGGCCUGCACUCUUCUUGUUACACUGAACAGCAGACUGGCUUGGAUGAUCGUUUCCCAAAGUGUGUUCCAAAGAGGCCGAGUUGCAAAAGGCGUUCCUCGGAGAAAGGCUUAGUGACCAGGUGACUUUAGGAAGCACUGGGCGCCGAGGACCAGGGCCCGGUCCACGAUGGUGUUAAUCCUUCUCUCGGGGCUUUGUCCGUGGAUUUAACACAGGCUCCCCAGAUGCCCAGGAGGCAGCGCAGAGUUGUGGUUAAAGGCUGCAAAGUGGGGAUUCUGGUCCUGCCAGUUACUGUGUGACCCUGGGCAAGCACUUAACCCCCUCUGUGUCUCAGCCAUCUCGGCUGUGAAUAAUUUCCCUCUUUGGGUUGUUAUGAGAAUUAGAUGGGUUCAUACAAGUAAAGUACUCAGCACAGUAGCUGGCACCUGGUAGGUGCCUGGUGCCUGUUGGCUAUUAUUAUUGCUGUCAUUGUCAUUGCUGGUAUUGGCUCAGGGCAUAGAAUGGCUCAAAACACACCCGGCUUCUGAGAAGUCAAAGCAGAGAAUGCUGGCUUUGUUUUCUCCAAAGUUUCCCCUUCUCUUUUGCCAUCAUACUCGUUUGAUCACAAAAACACCCACCUGCAUGUAGAAGCCUCAGCUCCACGGGACACGCUGUGGAAGUACUGGCACAGGUGGUUGUGACGACUUUGCACAGCCUCAGGAUCCAGCAAGCCGACCUCAGUGCCUUCACACCGUCCCCAGGCAGUGGACUGUCGUUGUGUCAGAGUUGGAAGGGCCACAGCCGUCUACCAGCCCACCUGUUUGGUUGCAGGCCUCCCAUGGAGGACAGUUUUAUUUGGACCACAGCAGAAGAGCGAUCUCUUUCCUACAGCCUACCAAAGAAAUAGAAGGGCUUGUGAAGCAGGAGGAGAGGGGUCCUUUCCCUUCCCAGCAUGUGUGUGUGUGUGUGGGGGGGGGGGGGGGUUAGUGGUAUUUGGGUGUGUGUAUAAGUUUGAUGGUGAUGUGGGGUGUGUGUGUGCUUUAAUGGUAUUUAGGUGUACGUGUGGGUGUGUAGGGUUUAAUGGUGGUGUGUGUAUGUGUGUGUGCGUGCGUGUGUAGGGUUUAGUGAUGAUGGGGUGCGUGUGGUUUGAUGCUUAUGGGGUGCGUGCGUGUGUGGUUUCAUGGUAUUUAGGUGUAUGUGUGGGUGUGUGUAGGGUUUAAUGGUGAUGGUGUGUGUGUGUGUAGGGUUUAGUGAUGAUGGGGUGUAUGUGUGGGUGUGCGUAGAGUUUAACGGUGGUGGGGUGUGUGUGGUUUCAUGGUAUUUGAGUGUGCGUGUGUGUGUUUUUGUGUAUGUGAACUUUAAUGGUGCUGUCAUGUUGUGGUUUCACGGUGUGUGGGUGUGAGUGUGGGCGUGUGUAAGGUUUCACGGUGACGGUGGAUUUCAUCAGGGCCCUCCCCACCUUUGCCCUUCGUCAGGGCCCUCACACCUUUUUUUUGUUUGUUUGUUUUUUUGCGGUACACGGGCCUCUCAUUGCUGCGGCCUCUCCCGUUGCGGAGCACAGGCUCCGGACGCGUAGGCACAGCGGCCAUGGCUCACGGGCCCAGCCGCUCCGCAGCAUGUGGGAUCUUCCCGGACUGGGGCAUGAACCCAUGUCCCCUGCAUCGGCAGGUGGACUCUCAACCACUGUGCCACCAGGGUAGCCCACUGUCACACCUUUUGUUCUAUGUCAGGCCCACCCCAGAGAGCACGACGAUGAACCUAUUUCCAGCCGAGGAGGAGAGUCGUUCCCACGCUUUGCCUCUGCACGUCCUGGGGGACGGCAGGUCUGUGUGUGAGGAAUCGUGUCCUCUUCACGCAGCAGCGUGUAGUUAGGGUUGCCUUCCUGCCUCAGCUUUGUGGAUCCCACAAGAGCUGCGACGUCCGCCAGCCCCCCACAGCCGCCUGAGGUAAUCAGCUCAUGUUCAGGUUCAUGGGAAUGGGCAUCAGUGUUGUGUCCACAGUGAUUCCGUGGAGGGCCCUGAUGAGCUAUCAAUUAUAAGUGGAAUCCACAAAGAAUACAGCUUUAAUGCAUCACAAAUGUGACCUAUCUAAAACAGGUCUGUUGGGACAUAAUAAAAAUUAGGUAUUUAAUCAUGUUGGGGGCUGUCUUCGAGUUUUGAGGUCUUAGCAGUCUCAAAUCCCUGGGAAGAGAAGGCCUCUGCUGUCUUUAUGCAGUGAAGAUACAAGGUAGUUCUUCCAGUUUUUAAUGUGCUUACAAAAUUGGGAUCAUCCUUUUCAAAAGCGUCCUCCUCAGGCCGUGAACGGUGCCCUGUCCGUGACCUUCACUGUGAGAGUUGACAGAGGAAGAAUUUGCGGCACCUGGUUUUAUUGGGACAUUCUGCGCAUUGAAGAGGGCGCUUGGUGCCGUCCGGUGUGGAAUGAGGGGCCAGCUCCCUGGUUUGCACCCGGCUCCAGCACUUUCACUGCACAGUGACUUGAGGACGCCAUGCCUCCGUGUCCUGAACUGAAAAAACGGGGGUGACCAGGACAUUGUCACACGCCUUUUUUUUUUUUUUUUUUGCGGUACGCGGGCCUCUCACUGUUGUGGCCUCUCCCGUUGCGGAGCACAGGCUCCGGAUGCGCAGGCUCAGCGGCCAUGGCUCACGGGCCCAGCUGCUCCGCGGCAUGUGGGAUCUUCCCGGACUGGGGCACGAACCCGUGUCCCCUGCAUCGGCAGGCGGACUCUCAACCGCUGUGCCACCAGGGAAGCCCAUGUCACGUGCUUUUAAUGAGUCCGUGCAGAUAAGCAUUUAGAGCAGAGUGUGGCCUAGAGUAAGGGCACGUAAGCAUCGGUUACUGAUGUGGCAGAGGCUUGACAUCCACGUAACUCCCAGUGAUCAGAGGAGGUGACGUGCAGAGAAGAUGCACCACUUGCUACUGAGAUUUAGGGAGAAGCCAGGAGCCCAGGAAGCACCUCUGGGUGCGUCUCUCUCGUGGACACUGGUGGUUGUCUGCGCUGGACACCAGCACUCUGGGUCCCAAAUCGGUCCCUGCUCUUGGCACCUCACAGUGCCAGGCAGGGGGCAGACCUGAGAACAGACAUGUGGUUUUUAAAGAUACAAUAGGGUACAGUACCAGUGUAAGCCGAUAAAAGGCAGUGAGGGGCAGAAUGAGAGGUUAAUUUCAACUAGGGGAUCUGAGAAGAUAAUAUUUGAGUUCCACCCGCCAGGGUGAGCUGCCCCAGUGGGUGUUGCUCCAGUUAGGGGGCGUCAGAGGGUGUUAUCUGGAGAUAUUGACCAGGAAGCGAGUCCACCCCCCCACCCCACCCCCAGUUGAUCUCGAGCCGGCAGGUCCCUGGAGGGUGGAUUCAGGCAUCCAGACUCAGACAGGAGCCUCACUGGCAGCCCAGUGACCCAGUGCCAUUGUCAGCGGGUUCCUUCCCUCACCUCCUCCAGGCUGGCUCUCCCACCUUUCAGGCGGGUCCCUGACGUAAAUCCAUCCAGGUCAGCAGGCUUCGUGGGGGCCCGAGGGCCUUUGUGGCUGGGGGCCUGGGCUAGACAACUAGCAGCAAGAGCAUCUCCCACCAGUGCCCACGCCAGUACCAGAGCCCCACUGCGCCUCCCACCUGCUGCCACCUGCUCCCAGAGCCCAGCGUGGUCAACUCACUUCCCAUCGGGCCCCAGAGGCCAUGCCCAGUUCGCCGCAGCUGGACUGACUGAGACUUCUCAGCCACCCAUUUUCAGAUCCUGGUCUAGCGUGAGUCCCUUUAAUGGACGGCUCAUCUCUUAUUUUUUCCACGGUUUUAUUCUCAGAGGGUAAAAGCUUACCUUCCGUAGUUUGGGGUUGUCUUGACCCUUGACCCUGUGUUUUUCACUGGCUACUAGCAUUUAAAGUGGGGAACAUUCUAGAGGAAGGGAAGUAUAGUCUGCAGGGAGUUGUGAGCCGUCCUGUAUCGCUGGACUCUCGGGCACGGGGAAGACAUGGAGUAAUGUGUGUGAUGUGAUCGAAAAGGUCUUUAUUGCUUAUGGAGCAAGAGAGGGAGGAGGAGAGAGAGAAGGCCGGUGCGUGGGGGGUGUCCCUGUGGAGGGCUGUCGAGGGAGGGAAGGAUGUUGGUGGGACGGCUGUGCGGACGGCCGAGGCCCGCCCUGCCCCUCCCCCAGUGGGCGCCAGGGCUCCCCUCAGGUGGCACUUCCAGCAGGCAGUCUGUGUCCUUGGGAGGAGCUAGAGCGAGAGGGAGAAGUAAUGCGAGGGGAGGACUGCCGUGCCUGGGUUUAUAGAUGCUUUUCCCCCAAGAGCUGUCCUCACGGUUUUCGAGGUGACUGUCCUGUGUCUGUGUCUUUCCUCAGACGAGCCUUUUUGCGCCCCAAUGUCCCGAGCAUUCAUGGUGACCAGCGACUGUGCUAGGUGAUCAGGACCCAGUUUCUCUUCUCACGCGUGGUGGUGACCUGAUCCGAUCUGUGCCCCGGAAAGGCCACUCUGGGGCAGGUGGCGAUGAGCAGCGAGGGGCUUGCCUUUUGUCACACAGCUGGAAACUGGCAGGGCCUGGCUGGCCGACUCCCCAGUCGCGCUUGGGGCCUCUCGGUGCUGCCACGUGCCCCGGCUUCGAUAUUCCAAAGUCCCCUCUGAGACACAGUUGAGACGGGAGGGCAUGGGUGGCCUCGGUGGCUUCCCCCUGUGUCUCCCAGGGCUCAUCACCCACUGCUGCUCUCUACCUGUUUUAAUCCGUGCUCCUACAGGGCUUCCCUCUGAACGGGUAACAGCACGCCAUCAGCAUGAUUCUGGCUGAGAUCUGCUGGGAUAAUGCCUGAGGGCGGGCUGGAUGGACGAGUAGAGGGACCCUUACAGAAGGCCGUGACGUGGCCCUUUUCCUGAGCAUCUACCCUGAGCUGGCCUCAUGCCAGGCCGUCCCCACCAUGAGAGAGGGACUUGACACAUCUGUCCCAGUGCCUGCACCCAGUCCCAGGACUUGGGUCGCAGCUGCCUUUGAAAGGGCCUGUUUGGAAUCUUUUUCCAUUUAACACAUUUGCAACUUAGCUAAGUGUCUUUUUCAAACGCUAAUAAAGCCUUAACAGCUUCUAAGACACCGCACUAGACCUGAGACAGGCUGACAAUUUGGAUUCCGUCUCCAGUGGGAAAGAUUCGACACUGCAGGUUUGAGGAGCUUUGAAAAGCUUCUUGUUUGUGUAAUGUUCAUCGGACACAGAUUCUUUUGCAAACAAUGGCCUGCAAGUGCUUUAAAGAAAUAAACUCCGCUUGCUUGGCCGGGGCGUGUAUCUGUCAGUGGUAGAACCACAAACACACGUUCUGUUGGCUGAAUUGUUUAAUUAAACCACAUCCUUGAAAUGAUCCGAGCCAUGUGAAGGGACAGUAUGGACACCACACUUUCUGAAAAGAUAUGUCAAGGGUCCCCAGAAACAAAUAACCAGAAUUUAUCCUAGACAAGUCAUUUCCUCUCUCUGGACCUGUUUCCUCAUCUGUAAAAUGAGGUAGCAGGCCUGGGACACCCACAGAAUCCUUGGGGUAAUGCAGUGUGAAGAUUCGCUGUUACUUGGAAUAAUUGUAAUGCCUUAGGGUUUUAUCCAUUUCCCCCCCUCUAUCUUCCCUUGAAACGGUAGGAGAUUCCCUUAUCGAAUGCAGGUUCAAAAUAUGAGAAUCAAGGGACCAAGAUGAUGGCCCAAGUGGUUCUCCUGGUCAACCCUGUCCAGGCUUGGCCUUUGCUUUUAAAGUGGCUCAGAACCCUGGAUAUGUGGGUGGCGAGGGCACCGGAAGAGUCUUGAGAAUCCUUCAGGCCUUUCCGGGAUGUCCCUGCUGCCGGAUGGGAGGCAAGGCUGUGGAGGAGGAACCCGGAGGCUGGUCCGGCUCUGCAGCCCGUCAGCUGUGUGGCCUUGGGCCUCCCUGUGUGUCCUUUCCCCGCCCCCUCCCUCAUGGGGAGAGAGGGCUGGCCAGGCCCCUUCUGGGCCUGACAACUCCUGGAGCUGGAGCCUGGGGUGUUAUGGGGAGCGCUCAGCAGCUGACGGCUCUCAUCACCCUAAGAAAGUCAGGCUACUGAAGCCAACUUAAAUGAAUAGAGCCCCAGAUUUCCCCCAGCCUUAAAGAAAGCUUGAGACUAGAUUGGGAAGGCCCAAUUCUGUUACAAACCAAAGUGACCAAAUCAUACUUUUGUAAAUUCCACUUACUUUUUUUUUUUUUUUUAAGUCCUAAAUUUUCAGCUUUUCCAGCAUGCAAGUUCGUAGAAUCAUUUGCUUUUCAGUGGUUGAAAGGAACUUAAGAUGUACCAGUUAUUUCAAAGUUGUGAAGCAGAGACUAAAAUAGUCUGAAGCUGAAUUUUAAGCCUCUUUUGGCGGGAUCAAAGAAACCCAAACUUCUAAAAAUACCAAAUUAGCUUUUUAAGCAUAGUUUCUAUCUUUAGUUGAAAAAUGUGUGCAGUGUGGGCUCCUGGAGCCUCCUUAAAUGUAUCCAUUGAUAUUAGCAUUUACCCUGAAAAAUGAGGCGUUUGACCUGCGUUAAUAAAGUCACUUUCUCUGCCGUUGACUUUCCCCUCCCCCCGGUGUCAGGAUUCCACAGGGUAGACCAAGACCUCCUCCCUUUCCCUUUCUUGAGUUCAGCCCUGUCUUGCAGGAGUUUGCCGUGGUCCAAGUUAUAUUCUUGAAAACCAAGAUGCACAGACACGGGCCUGAGCCUUCAGCUUCCAUGUCAGAAGUUAAAAUGGAUACUCCUACUUAGGGCGUAAGCUGAAAUAUUUGUAUUUGGGUUGCAAAUGUGUGAUAUGAUGCUCUCUGUAGCAGAUUGGCCUUUCUAAUUGCCGUGCUUGUUAAAAUUUAAAUUAGUUUUAGCUUUCCUAACAAAUGUUGACUGACAGUCACAGAAAAUGGCCCAGAAUCCUGGUGAAUGGGGGGCCGGGCCGGCCUGGGGUAGGACAGACCAUUCGGAGUAGCUAGCCUUGACUUUCAGUGCUUCCAUUACAGAUGUUUCAGAGACAGAGCUCCUUGCCAUACCUAGCUGGCCGCGGGGCGCACGGGGGAGGCGGCUCUCCCACUGUGGUCGUUGAGGGAAACACCAUCUCUGAUACAGGCUUCAUGUAGACAGGCCAGGCUCCAGCCAGAUGGGGUACAGGGGAAUGGGCAGUGGGCCACACACCCAGGAUUGCAGACCCUAACCUCCAGGAGUGGGCCACGGUCCCCCAGGCCUCUCCUGGGGGUGCCGAGGUGCCCAGGGCUGUCCGGGGACUUUGGGUGGGAUCUCUGCCAGUUUUGCCUUGUUAAGAGGAGAGGGGACAAGGGAACAGUACAGGGGAAAGAAGGGGAAGUGACUUUUCUUAAGCACGUACUUUGUGCCAGGCACCAGGCUGAGCAUAUUCACGUGCGUCAGCUAAUUAAAUCGUCACAGCAUCCCUGAAAAUAUACUUUGCCCAUUUUGCAUCUGAGGAGGCUGAGGCUCAGAGAGGUUCCCGGCCUGCCCAGGGUGGUGCGGCCGGUAAGUGGUGGAGCUAAUACUGCGUCCAGGUUCGUCUGACCCUGAAACCGUGCUCUUGCCACUGUGCCAUCCCUGCCCUGUUGGCUGGUUGUGUUCUGCCUACUUCCAGAACGGUUUCAGGUGGCUUGCAAAGGUGUAACAAGCAAGGCAGUGAGGCUGGGAGCUAGUGGGAAGGAAAAGAAAGAACGGGGAAAUCCAAAGCCAUGCUCCCCAGACGCUGCAUGCUUCACGGUGAUGAGACACAGACUUGACUGCGAGCUUCCUAGCACCCAGUGUAAAGAGGGCAACCAGAUGAGUCACAUGACUCACAGACACAAAAACAAAGCAUUCCUCUAGGAAAAGCACAGAGCCUCUAGUGUUGGUAAACUGUCUUCCCAGGAUCCUCAUAAAGAGUAUUUUUUGAUCGGUUUUUUUUUUUUUUUGCGGUACGCGGGCCUCUCGCUGCUGCGGCCUCUCCCGUUGCGGAGCACAGGCUCCGGACGCGCAGGCUCAGCGGCCAUGGCUCACGGGCCCAGCCGCUCCGCGGCAUGUGGGAUCCUCCCGGAGCGGGGCACGAACCCGCGUCCCCUGCAUCGGCAGGCGGACUCCCAACCACUGCGCCACCAGGGAAGCCCUUUGCUCGGUUUUAUGGCUUACAUGUUUCUGGCAACCAAUGCCAUUGGCAUGUAUCUUCUGGAUUAAUAGAGGUAGCGUUGCAUUUAUCUGAAAGAUGAAGGAAAGAAAAUUGCAGGCCCAUUAUUUGGAGUGGACACAUUUCUAGAGGUAGAGACACUUCUGUCUGGAUUUAUGAGGUGUGGGUGACCCUUUGAUUUCAGAUACAGGGCAAAUGCGGUGUGUAAAAAUACUGAUCAUCGGAAGUGGAAAAGAAGCCCCAACCCACCUCGCUUGAAUAGGCUUGGUUCUGAGUGGGGCUUGGGUGGUCUUCCGGAGCCCACACUACUGACAGCCUGGGAGGGGCCCAGAGUGCAAGGGGGCCCAGGGAGGCUGCGACCUGGGGGCACAUCUGCUUUCUCUGACUCUGCCCUGACUUUAGCUCACCAGUGGCCUGUUCUGCCUCAUUCGUGGCGGAACUUACUCUCAGCACAUUCUUUGUAGGGGUUUGGGUUCAGCCACUGAACGAGAGAGAGAGAUUCCUCCCUUCUCACAACCCUUAGUUCCAUUUCCGAAACUCCUGGGAGGAACCCUGGCCCAGUGCAGGGCCCAUGUCUCAUUUAGACCGGUGUGCGGUGGGCAGCAGGCAGGUCGCGUGCUGACAUGAUGGGAGGGAGAAGGGGCAUGUCCCAGAUGAGGCGGCCCCCGGUGACCCAGGACCCCUCCCAGGCACUGUCUGUAGAGGCAUCGGUGGGUGUCAGAGGGGGUGUCAGGAGGGGCCCAGGAGCCCCGUUGCGUGGUGACCAACAGAUGCUGCCCCUUUUCCACACUCAAGAGAUGUCUGAUGCCUGCAAGGAGCCACACCUUCCCGUCACCUCUGACCCCAGCAGGCUUCCAACCAGUGACCUUAAGGUGAGAAGCUCUGAUUACCGACAAGUCUAGCCAGCUUCUGCCUUCCUUUAUUUGACUCUAAAAAUGAUACCUGGGUUUUAGAGGAUUGCUUCUCAGGCAGCUGAAAUCACUGCUCCCACGUUCUGGUACUUUUCAGGAGAGAAGAAUCAGGUGGCUUCCUUUUGUCCUGGUCCAGGCAGAGUGGAAAGCCGGGCUGGCUUCCUCAGGCAGAGGCUGGGCACCUUUGGAUUUUCCCUGUAGUCUGAACUCACCUGGGAGGUGAGUCUGAACUCACCAGGGGCCUUGUGUGUCCUUCCCCACUGGACACACAAGGCCUCUAGAUGACAUGACCCCCUCCCGGUGGCUCUGUGACCUCAGCGGGACUCGGCUCACGCUCCUGUCACAGCCCCGAGGAGGCACGCGUUUUCCACCAGAGUCUCUCUCAACCCCUCCCCACCAAGCCAACGCCAGGAUGCAGCCCGCUGAUGGGAGAGUUGGGGACUGAAGGGACUAAGUCCUUUUUUGCUUUGGCCGUUUCAGUUAGGGUUGAUAUACCUACAGGAAGAUGCCUGCUUCAUUAGGUACACACUCAGUCACCCUCCCCAAACCGAGCUCAUCCGUGUACCAACAGCCAGAUCAAGAGCGCUACCAGCACCCGCAGAAGCCCCUCUUUGGGGCCCCAGAAUCGGAAAAAGUUUUAAAGAAAGAGGGAAAGGAAAACAACGUUUACUAAUUAGCUUUUAUGGAACAGGCUCUGUGCAUACUCUCCACAUUGCCCCAAAUCCUCAUUUGAAAGAUGAGGAAUCAGACCCAGGAAGGGACAGGUGACCUGACCAAAGCCACGGCCACAGAACCAGGUCUCCUCAAAUCCCAACACAAUGCAUUUCAUCUAAACCCUGCUCCUGACUUUCCUUCUCUCCCUGUCUUUUAUAGAUUGUUGGGAAGUGAGAUAGCAUAUUAAUAUUUCCAAAACUUCUUGUGAAAUUUUGAAGUGUUGUGUAAUGAUUAAGAUGGCAACUAGGAACUAGGAAAUGAGAGCUUUUAAUCCCAGCUUACAGGAAAUUCUAACUAGUAGGAAAUCUAAUUCAGGCAGUCCUGGGAAACAUCACACCGCUCUGAGAUGAAAGUCAGCUAAAUUGGGAUCUAAUUCUAUAAUCUAAAUAUAGAUGUAGAUAUAUUACAGGUUGGCCUUUUCAGCUUGGGAGAGGAUCGUUCACUCUAAAAAGUGCCCUUUGUGUCAUAGAGAAGAGCGGCUGGCCAGGGUGACGGCCCAGAAAGGCAAGGAGGGGCUUUGACUUUUUUAUACCUUAGUCUUUAUUUUCUUAAAUUUCGUAAUAAGAAUGUAUUUGUGCAUUACAUGUGUAAUACACGAAUUUAAAGGGCCAGAGGGAAGACUCUUAGCAGAGUGUUUUCAGUGUGGACAGGAGGUUUGCGGGUAGCCUUUGCCUUUCCCACAUUAGUGACGAUGGAGGGUGAAGGUGUCAGCUGCUGUCGCCUGUCCCAGGGACACAGAGCCCCCCCUGGAGUUGACUAGCUCAUUGGCCUUUGCGUGGCAAGGGCUCUUUUAUUUUAAACAUGUUUGAUUACAAAAUUAACAUGCUUAUAAAAGUUAAACCAUUCCAGACGUGCAAGACAUAACAAAAUUUAAAGUCGUCCCCCCUUCCCCCACCCCCACCCCCCAGUUUCAGAGGUCACCACUAUCAGUUACAUAGUAUGUAAUUAUUUGUUUUGAUUAUUGUUUCUUCCCUAUGAGAACAUUUUUUUCCCUAUGUCUUGUUCAGUGAUGCAUCUCAGGCGUAGAGAACAGUAUUUUGCGCGAAGCAGGUGGUGUGUCAGUGUCUGUGGGGUGCGUGGACGCCGCAGCAGACGUCUUUGUACAUGAGUCCUUGACCAUUUGUGCAAGUAUGACUGCAGGACAGAUUCUUGGGUGUGACAUUGCUGGGCCAAAGGGUAUGUAUGUGUUUUCCUUUUCUGGUUCUGCCGAUUUGGCAUCCAAAACGGUGUCCUCAGUUGUCACUCACUCUUCACCAGGUGACAGACAGGACAGUGGGACUGUCCUUUUCCUCAUGACCUCACUAGCACUGGAUAAGUCAGUUAUUGCAUCUUCCACUGGUAAAAAAUGUAUGUAUAUUCCUUUAAGUUCAUACUUCCUCAAUCAACAGUGAGGUUGAACAUCUUAUACUAUGUUUAUCAGCCAGUAGUAUCUCUUGUGUAAACUGUCUCAACGUCCUUUGCUAAUUUUUUUAGUGGGCCGUUUGCCUCGUCUUCUUGGUCCAUUUUGGUGUGUAGAGAGUGUGGUAUUAAUAUUUUCUCAUAUCUUGUAAAUUGCAGAUAUUUUCCCCAAGCCUGUCAUCUGUCUUGUAAAUAUAAACAUGUUUUUCUACAUCCUCUUAUAGUAAUUAAGGAAUUCUGGUUUUUCAUUUGAUUUUUUUUUCAUCUGACAGCAGUUUUGUGUAUGUGGUUUGAGGUGUAGGAUCUAACGACUUUUUUCCCCCCAAGUGGAUAGGUGAUUCUCCCCAUGCAGUAUUCUUUUAAAUAGCCUAAAUAAAAGAAUAAAAUUUUGUCUUUGAGAGAUGGGGAUUGUGAACCCAAAAACAUGCAUAGCAAUUUUUACUUAAAAAUCCAGACCGGCAGCAGGAGCAGGUCAUUAAAUUCAUUUUAAUGAAUAUUCCCUAAAAGCCAAAACUCGUAGAAGUGGUUGCCCGAGGGCUUUCCAGAAAGCUGUAACUGAAAGGUUUCUACCAUCGGUCUUCCCUCCUCUUUCCCUUUUUCGAGCAGCCAUUAAAGAUCUGAUGACGGGGGUGAA
Molecule: long non-coding RNA, 14070 nt
Organism: Orcinus orca (killer whale)
Lineage: Eukaryota; Metazoa; Chordata; Mammalia; Artiodactyla; Delphinidae
Exons: 2
Source: RefSeq, a predicted model, not a curated record